RNAcentral lists this ribosomal RNA (299 nucleotides) under uncultured bacterium. RNAcentral's name for it is "partial 16S ribosomal RNA". It matches the Rfam family "Bacterial small subunit ribosomal RNA", at positions 497 to 795 of the family's 1533-position model. The record is from RNAcentral.
AUAUCUCAGAGCAAGAGGACUGGGUAAAUCGUGCGUGGCUAGCGUUAAUCCGAAGUACGUGGCUUAAAGCGUAAGCAGGCGGCUUAUUAAGUCAGAUGUGAAAGCCCUAGGCUCAACCUAGGAACGGCAUUUGAAGACAAUAAACUAGAGGAUCGUCGAGGGAGGUAGAAUUCCAUGUGUAGACGUGAAAUGCGCAGAUAUCUGGACGAAUACCAGUGGCGAAGGCGACCUCCUGGACGAAAACUGACGCUCAAGCACGAUAGCAUGGGGAGCAAACAGGAUUAGAUACCCCUGUAGUC